CAACCCUUAUCCUUUGUUGCCAGCGGUCCGGCCGGGAACUCAAAGGAGACUGCCAGUGAUAAACUGGAGGAAGGUGGGGAUGACGUCAAGUCAUCAUGGCCCUUACGACCAGGGCUACACACGUGCUACAAUGGCGCAUACAAAGAGAAGCGACCUCGCGAGAGCAAGCGGACCUCAUAAAGUGCGUCGUAGUCCGGAUUGGAGUCUGCAACUCGACUCCAUGAAGUCGGAAUCGCUAGUAAUCGUGGAUCAGAAUGCCACGGUGAAUACGUUCCCGGGCCUUGUACACACCGCCCGUCACACCAUGGGAGUGGGUUGCAAAAGAAGUAGGUAGCUUAACCUUCGGGAGGGCGCUUACCACUUUGUGAUUCAUGACUGGGGUGAAGUCGUAACAAGGUAACCGUAGGGGAACCUGCGGUUGGAUCACCUCCUUACCUUAAAGAAGC
Molecule: ribosomal RNA, 446 nt
Filed under: Escherichia coli
Lineage: Bacteria; Pseudomonadati; Pseudomonadota; Gammaproteobacteria; Enterobacterales; Enterobacteriaceae
Also listed under: 2 other names
Description: bacterial SSU rRNA
Rfam family: Bacterial small subunit ribosomal RNA
Source: RNAcentral